RNAcentral lists this antisense RNA (69 nucleotides) under Streptosporangium subroseum. Its description in RNAcentral is "ASpks TB sRNA". It matches the Rfam family "ASpks TB sRNA". Lineage: Bacteria; Bacillati; Actinomycetota; Actinomycetes; Streptosporangiales; Streptosporangiaceae. The record is from Rfam by way of RNAcentral.
CUUCAGCGAGCCCAGCAGGAGCGGCUGCUCACGGUCCUGGCCGUACGUGGCCAGCAGCGCCUGCGCCUC